Molecule: ribosomal RNA, 983 nt
Filed under: Acinetobacter baumannii
Lineage: Bacteria; Pseudomonadati; Pseudomonadota; Gammaproteobacteria; Moraxellales; Moraxellaceae
Description: bacterial SSU rRNA
Rfam family: Bacterial small subunit ribosomal RNA
Source: RNAcentral
GUUUGAUCAUGGCUCAGAUUGAACGCUGGCGGCAGGCUUAACACAUGCAAGUCGAGCGGGGGAAGGUAGCUUGCUACUGGACCUAGCGGCGGACGGGUGAGUAAUGCUUAGGAAUCUGCCUAUUAGUGGGGGACAACAUCUCGAAAGGGAUGCUAAUACCGCAUACGUCCUACGGGAGAAAGCAGGGGAUCUUCGGACCUUGCGCUAAUAGAUGAGCCUAAGUCGGAUUAGCUAGUUGGUGGGGUAAAGGCCUACCAAGGCGACGAUCUGUAGCGGGUCUGAGAGGAUGAUCCGCCACACUGGGACUGAGACACGGCCCAGACUCCUACGGGAGGCAGCAGUGGGGAAUAUUGGACAAUGGGGGGAACCCUGAUCCAGCCAUGCCGCGUGUGUGAAGAAGGCCUUAUGGUUGUAAAGCACUUUAAGCGAGGAGGAGGCUACUUUAGUUAAUACCUAGAGAUAGUGGACGUUACUCGCAGAAUAAGCACCGGCUAACUCUGUGCCAGCAGCCGCGGUAAUACAGAGGGUGCGAGCGUUAAUCGGAUUUACUGGGCGUAAAGCGUGCGUAGGCGGCUUAUUAAGUCGGAUGUGAAAUCCCCGAGCUUAACUUGGGAAUUGCAUUCGAUACUGGUGAGCUAGAGUAUGGGAGAGGAUGGUAGAAUUCCAGGUGUAGCGGUGAAAUGCGUAGAGAUCUGGAGGAAUACCGAUGGCGAAGGCAGCCAUCUGGCCUAAUACUGACGCUGAGGUACGAAAGCAUGGGGAGCAAACAGGAUUAGAUACCCUGGUAGUCCAUGCCGUAAACGAUGUCUACUAGCCGUUGGGGCCUUUGAGGCUUUAGUGGCGCAGCUAACGCGAUAAGUAGACCGCCUGGGGAGUACGGUCGCAAGACUAAAACUCAAAUGAAUUGACGGGGGCCCGCACAAGCGGUGGAGCAUGUGGUUUAAUUCGAUGCAACGCGAAGAACCUUACCUGGCCUUGACAUA